UCCUAAGGUAGCGAAAUUCCUUGUCGGGUAAGUUCCGACCUGCACGAAUGGCGUAAUGAUGGCCAGGCUGUCUCCACCCGAGACUCAGUGAAAUUGAACUCGCUGUGAAGAUGCAGUGUACCCGCGGCAAGACGGAAAGACCCCGUGAACCUUUACUAUAGCUUGACACUGAACAUUGAGCCUUGAUGUGUAGGAUAGGUGGGAGGCUUUGAAGUGUGGACGCCAGUCUGCAUGGAGCCGACCUUGAAAUACCACCCUUUAAUGUUUGAUGUUCUAACGUUGACCCGUGAUCCGGGUUGCGGACAGUGUCUGGUGGGUAGUUUGACUGGGGCGGUCUCCUCCUAAAGAGUAACGGAGGAGCACGAAGGUUGGCUAAUCCUGGUCGGACAUCAGGAGGUUAGUGCAAUGGCAUAAGCCAGCUUGACUGCGAGCGUGACGGCGCGAGCAGGUGCGAAAGCAGGUCAUAGUGAUCCGGUGGUUCUGAAUGGAAGGGCCAUCGCUCAACGGAUAAAAGGUACUCCGGGGAUAACAGGCUGAUACCGCCCAAGAGUUCAUAUCGACGGCGGUGUUUGGCACCUCGAUGUCGGCUCAUCACAUCCUGGGGCUGAAGUAGGUCCCAAGGGUAUGGCUGUUCGCCAUUUAAAGUGGUACGCGAGCUGGGUUUAGAACGUCGUGAGACAGUUCGGUCCCUAUCUGCCGUGGGCGCUGGAGAACUGAGGGGGGCUGCUCCUAGUACGAGAGGACCGGAGUGGACGCAUCACUGGUGUUCGGGUUGUCAUGCCAAUGGCACUGCCCGGUAGCUAAAUGCGGAAGAGAUAAGUGCUGAAAGCAUCUAAGCACGAAACUUGCCCCGAGAUGAGUUCUCCCUGACUCCCUGAGAGUCCUGAAGGAACGUUGAAGACGACGACGUUGAUAGGCCGGGUGUGUAAGCGCAGCGAUGCGUUGAGCUAACCGGUACUAAUGAACCGUGAGGCUUAACCUU
RNAcentral lists this ribosomal RNA (982 nucleotides) under human gut metagenome. RNAcentral's name for it is "bacterial LSU rRNA". It matches the Rfam family "Bacterial large subunit ribosomal RNA", at positions 1949 to 2925 of the family's 2925-position model. The record is from RNAcentral.